Schistosoma mattheei is the source of this 45-nucleotide non-coding RNA. NCBI's taxonomy places the organism in Eukaryota, Metazoa, Platyhelminthes, Trematoda, Strigeidida, Schistosomatidae. The record is from Rfam.
AUUCAGCUGAUGAGUCCAAAAUAGGACGAAACGCGCGUCCUGGAU